This 2166-nucleotide small RNA is filed under the name Pongo abelii (Sumatran orangutan). RNAcentral's name for it is "processed transcript". The record is from RNAcentral. Lineage: Eukaryota; Metazoa; Chordata; Mammalia; Primates; Hominidae.
AUUUCAGAGUCAACAAGGAGGUAUUACUGAGGGCCACCUGGCUGCAGGUCCCCAAGACAGGCCAGCUGCAAAUGGGCCCACCUGGCUCCAAGGGGAGAGAUGAAGUAAGGUGGCCCAGACAUGACCUGAAACUCAGCCAUCCUGCAGCCAGGCCGGACCCCGAGGGACAGUGAGCCUCACUCCAUUUCCCAGCAAGCCUCCUGCCGGCUCUGCGGAUGUGUCCCUGGACAGGACGGGCCCUGGCUGUGACAGAAAAUGACACUGACCCGUUCCCAGCGUGCCUGCACUCCCUAACAGCCACGUCCAAUGGAGGAGAAGUGGCCUUCCCACGGCUCAGGCCCUCUCACUGCACACCAGCCGGGGAAAGGGAUGUCACAGGGGAACCAACCAGCCCCAGCCCCGGGUGAAAAUCCGCGUCCAGUCAGGCAGGAGGUGCCGCAGGGGACAUGGGCGCUCGAGGCCCAGGCACCACCAGGGCCGCCCUCACCCUCUCCCGCCCCCUGCUGGCUGAGCGUCGUCAGGCUUCAAUCCCGCUGGGCCUCAGGUGGGGGUCGUGCUGGGCAUCCUCGUGGACCUGGUGGCCGGCAGGGUGGGCUCCAGGCCCGGACUGCCCAGGGCCUCCUGCUCCCUCAGCCUCAGGCCUGGCUGCCUCUGGGUGAGCAGUGAGCACCUCUGGAUCAGAACGAAGCCCUCUGCUGCAGAAGAGGAAGGGCCUGAACCAGGAGGGAACAAGGGUGCAGGUGUGCUCGGGAAGGCGGCACACCACGGCGGGGACUCUGUUUCUGCAGCCUCAAGGCAAGAGGCCAGCAUGGUGACUUCUGGCCGCUCCCCAGCCUGAGCCUGGGGCUGGCCCAACGCCGUUACCUGCUGCUGGGCGAAGAAGUCCUUGACCAGAGAGCCCAUGACCUGCUGCGGGGACCGGGCGGUGCUGAUGUGGGGGAGGAUGAAGCUGCCGUGGGUCUUCUCGGCAUAGCAGAUCCAGCCUGAGGUGACAGGGGGCACACGGGGCUGGCGGGGGCGCACGGCGGCCCCCGCAUCCACAGGCAGCAGCACGACAUUCUGGGGGCGGGCCCGCUCAUACAGAUCAUGAUGACAUUCAAGAGUGCUCGUUCCUGUUCUCCCCACCACCACGCGGAGCUCGGCGUGCAGGCAACACUGCCUGGGGACCUGAGGUGACUGCGCGUGGCUCCCAAGGGAGGGAAGCCCCUUCUCCAGAAAAGGCCAUUUGUGCCAACAUUUCUAACCCGUCCUGCAAAACCGGCUUGCGUCUCCACCUCCCAUCCCCCGCCUCGUCAUUCGUGUCCGUAUCACGUCACGUUUUAACUGCACUUGAACUUGACUCUCACACCACCCGCACCAUAAGCACACCUGGGCAGGCGGAGGCCAGCAGGGGCAGGGCCUGUUUGCAGUCGGCCUGUCCUCGGAAUCGCCGCACAAACUCUCGCUGGCUCUCCAGGAGGCUGAAGUGCCUUGAGAAGGCAGUGUCGAAGACGAAGUGCACCCCUGGAAGGUGAAGGUGGGUGCCUGGUUAACCCCAUGCGGGAUGCCCACGCGAGCACACGCCGGUGUGUGGACCACCAUGGUGCUGCCAGGGCACGUGUGUCGCACCUGCUUGCCAUGCCAAAGCCCCGGCCCCACCGUGGGGACCUCCUAAAGCCACGUUGCACCAAAGCCCCAGCCCCACCGUGGGGACCUCCUAAAGCCACGUUGCCUCGGCAUCCCCUAUGAACGCAGGCCUUGCUUUCCCACCCCAGAGGCAGGGCAGCCACUCAGCAGCUCAGUCCUCCACCCUCCCAGCUCCUCAGCGUGGCUGGUCCAGGGAAUUGCCACGUGCGCUGCUCCCGGUGACCCUCCCUAGGGCACAGCUGGACGCGGUCUGCUGGACUGGCCCCUCGGACCCUGACUGUGCAGACCUGCCAUAGUGGCCACCCCUCACACACAGCGGGACUCCUGGAACACGCCAGCCAGCUCCAAGCCCAGCCAUUAGAACUGCUCAGUAAACCUGCCUGAUCAUGCCCUGGACCCAGCAGAGGCACCAGCGUGUGGUCCCUCUCUCUCUGCCUGACUUGUCAUUCCUCCCUCGCGUAACCCGUGGUCAGAGGACUGCCCUCGGACUCACUGUGCCCCACUUGCCCGUGAUCUGUAAGCAAAAAUCUUUCAACUUGC